Molecule: long non-coding RNA, 542 nt
Organism: Hipposideros armiger (great roundleaf bat)
Lineage: Eukaryota; Metazoa; Chordata; Mammalia; Chiroptera; Hipposideridae
Exons: 3
Source: RefSeq, a predicted model, not a curated record
UUCCAUAGCUGAUGAAAAUAGUUAAUCUGAAACCCAAAUUGUGUCCUGACAAACACCUCUACCUUUCUGCCUCUUCUUGAACACUGCUGCUGGACCACAGAAGAAAUAUGUCGCGGACAUCCAGGAGCCUGGCAGUGUGAUGAUGGGAAAUGUAUUUCUCUGAGCUGGCUUUGUGAUGGUGUUGGUGACUGCUUAGAUGGCUCCGAUGAGGUUAAUUGUGAGAUAUUGACAGCAUGUCCAGACCAAAAAAUCCAGUGUCCAGGAAAUUCUCAGUGCCGUGAUGCUUGGGAACUCUGUGAUGGCCAUAUGGACUGUGAAGAUGGGUUUGAUGAAGCACACUGCCCCUGGCUCCAUUGCCUGGCUGGGCAGUGGCAGUGCAAGAACAAGGUGUGUGUCAUGGAGAGCUGGAAAUGCAACGGCAUCAAUGACUGCGGUGACUCCUCGGAUGAGGAAGUCUGUGCCUCCUGUCCAGAAGGCAUGGUUAGAUGUGAUAAAUGGAAAUGCAUCCUAGAAUCCUUGAUGUGUGAUGGAGAAGCAGACUG